Molecule: long non-coding RNA, 4113 nt
Filed under: Canis lupus familiaris (dog)
Lineage: Eukaryota; Metazoa; Chordata; Mammalia; Carnivora; Canidae
Description: lncRNA (ENSCAFG00000059160.1)
Source: RNAcentral
ACACGGAGUGUGGGACUCAUCCCCACAUUCCAGGAUCAUGCCCUGAGCUGAAGGCAGACGCGCUUAACCUCUGAGCCACCCAGGCGUCCCUAAACAACAAAUUUUUUUAUUGUUGCAUUCAAAGAAAAUUUUUUUUAUUUUUUAUUUAUUUAUGAUAGUCACACACAGAGAGAGAGAAGCAGAGACAUAGGCAGAGGGAGAAGCAGGCUCCAUGCACCGGGAGCCCGACGUGGGAUUCGAUCCCAGGUCUCCAGGAUCACGCCCCGGGCCAAAGGCAGGCGCCAAACCGCUGCGCCACCCAGGGAUCCCCAAAGAAAUUUAUGGGCAAAUGCAAGAAGUUGAGUCUACAGCUGGACAAGAGCAGUAACCCUUAUUAUUGGGAUGGUUGCUACCAGAUGGAUGGUACAAGUUUGAUUUCUGCCUACGUGGAUCUACUAACUAGGCUCUUCUCAUCUGGGACUUGGAUGUGACUAAGUAAAGAUCCUGAGAUGGAGACGUUUUCCUGGAUUAUUCAGGCGGACUCCAAAUGCAGUUACAAGUGUCCUUAUAAGAGAGAGGUAGCAGAAAAUCACAGACAGAAGAGGCGAAGACAACACGACCAUGGAAGUGAAGAUUGGCGUGAAGUGGUCACAAGCCAAGGAAUGCUGACAACCACCAGAAGCUGGAAGAGGAAAAUAAUGGGUUCUCUCUAGAGCCUAAGGGGGACUACAUGUCUGCCAACAUCUUGAUUUCAACCCAGUGAUACUGAUUUUGGACAUCUGGCUGCUAGAACUCUGACAGAAUAGAUUUCUGUUGUGAGAGAGAGAGAGAGAGGAGGGCCAGAGGGAGAGGUAGAAAAUCCCAAGAAGACUACCUGCUGAUCAUGGAGCCUGAUGUGGGGCUGGAUCUCACAACCUUGAGAUUGUGACCCAAAAUCAAAAGUCAGAGGCUUAACCAACUAUACCACCCAGCUGGUUGGUUGGCCAGAGUUUCUCAUCAAGGAGUACAUGCUGUUUGCUCCCCAGAUGGACAGCCUGGAUGAGCUACAAAUCCACAGAGCCUGGGACACAAGGUGAAAAACCAGUAUGCUGGCAUGGAGAUAUGACCUUCAUAUAGAGUCAAACAUAAGAAAGUAGAUGUCGGUACAUUAGGUAUGGUAUGUAUCACUUUGUGUUAAAAAACACACUAAUGUUUAUAUUAUGUCAUUAAGGGUAUUUAUCCUAGUGGUAAUUGAAGUUAUUUUGGAGUAAAGAGGGUGUAUAUAAUGUACAUAACUUGGAAAUUUUUACAAUGGACAUGAAUUAUUUUAAUAAAUCUGCAAAGAAGUCAAUGAAGAUAAUUCUGUUGUGGAGGAAAACAAAAAAGACUCAUGUCUCUGUGGCUCUUAUUGUAUUAUGGGGUGGAGGAUCCAUGCCACUAACAAGGCACCCUGUGGUUAAGCAUGAAAUGCCUUUUGAUUUUGAUACUAUAGCCUUUCAUCAAAAUUUUCUCAUUGCAGACCUUACAGGGAAUUAUCUUCCUUAGCUCGAGAAAAUGUAAGACUUGUCUGUCAGGGAGCACUUUGAUCCCAAAGGUUAGAAGCUAGUAGGGUAGGAUUGAAUUAACCGCAGUAACAACAAAAAGACAAUUCCCCUCCAUAUGGGAUGGUUGAUGCCUGUUGUCUGGGCUUCUGUGUCUGCAGUUGUCCCAUCCCGUGGCUUAUUUAUUUCCCUAGUUAUGUUACCAUUUCGUGCUUGUUGUCCUCUGCCUACUUCAAUAUCUGGGGAUGCAGCAUUAAUAUUUGAGCAAGGGUGGUGUAUCCCAUAGCAUAUCCAGAAUGGAGGAGACAAACAAUAAAUAACAGUGAUCAGCCUGUGCUACCAGACCUUCCUUGGAGAGCUUUACUGUGCACACCAAGAAAUGGAUUCAUGAAAGUUAGUUUGGUGGAGUGGAAAGUAAAACACAGAAGAGAAAUAGAGUGGUGCACACAGCUGUCACAGUCAUGUCAGAAAUCCAGACGAGAAAGGUUAGCAUCAGUAGCUCACAAAGACCUUCCAGGGAAGAGCAAGGCUGCUAUUGCUAUAGUGUGUCAAGCACCUGACACAGGAGUGAAGCUUGACAAGUCAUUUUGAUGCUGAGCUGGAAAACUCCUUGAAAAUAAACACAUUGUUCAAAAAGGCCAAAAAUCCAAAUCAAUACAAAGAAGAGAGCUAAGAGAAUGAGUGAAAACAAGUUAAUGAGGGAUAAUGGCUUGCCCUUGCCUCCACUUCUGAUCAUCACCCCAGCAAGUGCAGAUGUUUGGUGUUGACAGACUGAGUUGUGCAGUGGGAAAGUACAGCCUGAAGAUUCAGGCAGACCUGAGGUAAGACCCAGUUCACCUACUUGCCACUUAAAUUUAGCAUUUAGCAAGCGACUUCUUCUCACUAGGAGAUUCUUGGCUGGUUCUGGUUGCACUGAAUCUGGGCUUGAGUUUAUUUUUCUGUAACCUAGGGAUAAUAGUAUUCUCUCUAUUAUGUUGUGUUAAAGAUGAUGUGAAAUAGUGCUUAGAAAGUGCUCAUCUGCAGAAAGUGCUCAAUAAGUGCUAGUUGCUAGUUGCCUGGGGCCUAUCCUUUGUCCUCAAGCUCUGGGGAGUGAAAUGCUCUUAUGCCUUGCCCUGACUUCCCUCUUCUUCCUGUUUUUUUCCUCUUCCUCUUUCUCCUUUUCCAGUUCUGUAAGGAUGGCAAAGUCCUGAGCUGGCAGAUAAAUUGGGCUCCAGCUCAGGGGAAGCAGAGAGAAUGCUUGAUGUACUUGUCCUGCCGCUGAGGGAGCAAGCUGCGUUUGUGCUCCUGGUUUCCAUUACUGAGCUGGCCAUAUUUUAUCUUCCCUUAAGUGGCAGCCAGAUCCCUCCAGGUCAGGUCAACACAGACUCUGAAUACAGGAGAGAGAAGCAGGUACUAAAACUGGUCAGAGGUAUUUAUUUCUCCUUCAACUGUGCUCUCUAAAAGCGACACUAACAUCUUCAAACCUGAAGUUGGGAGUUGCAGUUCUUUUGCAAUGUCCUGUGAAUCUCUGGCCUGUUUCCACUCAGGUGAGCCUAUGUAAUACUGCCAGAGGUGUUCUUUUGUACAGCUUUCAUCGUGAUGCCUACCUUCUCAAAGCCAUUGCUAACUCCCCAGUGUCUGUGAAAUAAAUCCCAAACUUCUUACGUCAGCACCCAGCUCAAAUGCUUGCCCUUCCACAAAGCUUUGUUUGGAGCUAGGUGGAGGUAAUCUUGCCCUUCUCCAAACUCCUCUGGCUUUCUCUGAGCAGAGCACAGAUGUUUGAUUCUUAGAAUUCUCCCCCCGCCCCCUGCUGUACAGGCUUUUAGAAUCUUAGUCUUCCUCUUCAAAGAACAUAGGCCUUUUGAAAGUAAGAUUUAUGCCCACCCCCUGUCUGUUUUCUCCACAGUGUGUAACAAUUAUUAGAUGAAUUAUUAGAUGAAUGAAUUUGAAGGCAGUAGUUGAGCUGUAGUAUGUAUAUUUAAUUGCUGGUGAUGUACUAUUUGAUAUGCCCUGGGAUGGCAAAUUCUUGCCAUGCAUGCCCUCAUGGUUUUUCUGGUGCAUAUGACUAAAUUCUUUUCAUGUGCCAACCCUAAUGUGCAAGUGGCUGUCUUGGAGAAGUAGAUUGUGAAGGCUUCUAAGGUUAUGUCUUAUGCCAGUAGGAUAGAGUACUGUGAUUUUUAAUGUUUCCCACUACCACUGUAUUAGAAUUGAUUGAAAGAUGGAAGCUGUAUGUCAUAUCACAUCUAAUGUUUCCAUAUUAGUAGAAAGUUGUAAUAAAUGAUAUGGAUGCACUUGCAAUUAAAACUGACUCUCCUAAAAUUGCAAUCACAUCAAUAUAUGGAGAAGUUGUGGAAAUAACACAGAUUGGAGUCACUAGUCCUAACUUUCACUUUGGCCUCUUCCACUUGGGAGCUAGCAGCAAAUUGCUUAAUCUCCAUCUCCACAUGUAUGUUACUAACACUCGUUUUGCCUACCUCACAGCCAGAGAAGAGGGUGGUUUUCCUGGUCCUGAGGACAAAAUGAAUUAUUUAAUAAUAGACACAUUAUGAUGAGAAUUCAUAAAUAACAUAUUAUUUCUUACUUCAAAAGACUCACAUGUUCUUUAAAUUAAAGACAAAAAUACAGAGAAAAAAAA